CCCCAUUAAAAACGUUAAGGAAGGGGAUGCCUGGGUGGCUCAGCAGUUGAGCCCCACAUUGGGCUCCCCACAGGGAGCCUUCUUCUCCCUCUGCUUAUGUCUCAGCCUCUGUCUCUGUGUCUCUCAUGAAUAAAUAAAUAAAAUUCUUAAAAAUAUAAAUAUAAUAAAUGUGAUACUAAAAGCACUGUCCAAAUGGCCUUUAAAUUUUAUUUAUUUCCUCCUCUAAAAGGAAGGUUUUUCAACUUAAAAUUCUAUGGAGAUUACCUGGUUUAAUUCCUCAGAACUAUCCCAAAUGGUUUUGAAAGAGUCAUUAUUUCUAACAUCCAGUGAACAUAUGAUGCUUUUACUUAGGAAGAGGAAGAAAGUGUUUACAAUCUCACUUUGUACUUCAAAAAAAUUCUAUAACAUUUAGCUCGUGAUUCAGAAAUUAUAAAUAAAGCUGUUUUAUCAUCCAAUGUUACUGAAACACCGAGUCCUGUGAUGCUUUAGUCUUUAUGGUUCCAGGGGUUUAAUUUUUAUUUUGCACUUUUUUGUAAGAAAUAGCUUAUGAAUCCUAAGUCUAAAUAUUUAUUUCCUACACCAAUUGCUCUGAUCUCCGUUUCUGCAAAUUUUGCUUUUAUGCAUGGAUGAAAUGGGUUUGCUGUGGUUUCUUAGUGGGCUAUACCAGAUACACCUGGAUCUGAAAUUAAUCUUGACACACAGGAACACUCUAAUUUUGAAAGGAAUAUAGAAGCUUGAUGCCUCGGGACGCCUGGGUGGCUCAGUGGUUGAGCAUCUGCCUUUGGCUCAGGUCAUGAUCCCAGGAUCCUGGGAUUGAAUCCCACAUUGGGCUCCCCACAGAAAGCCUGUUUUUCUCCCUGCCUGUGUCUUUGCCUCUCUCUGUGUGCCUCUCAUGAAUUAAUAAAUAAAAUUUUUAAAAAGCUUGAAGCUUCAAUGUCCUCUGCUGUAAGAUGGGCAUAAUAAAAGUACUUAACUUGUAGAACUGUUGUGGGGUUUAUAUAAGAGGAUGAAUGUGAAGUCUGUUGUGGCAGAGAUGAUGCUAUAUAAUUCACCAAAUCCUGUUUCUGUUUCCCCUUCAUGACGAAUGAGACACAUUUUCAACCUCCCUUGUAUUGCUCUGGGGCCAUGUGGCAUGGGCUGUUUCCAGGCUUGGCUACCCAGCCUGGCUAUCAUGGGGGACAUAUGCUCCAAGUCAUGUGGCUGUAAGGCAUAGGAGGGUGUCCUACCCCACAUAGGACUUUCUUUUAGAGAUUUUAUUUAUUCAUGAGAGGCACAGAGAGAGAGAGACAGACACAGACAUAGGCAGAGAGAGAAGCAGGCUCCCUGUGGGGAGCCCCCCAUGCAGGACUCUAUCCCAGAACUCCAAGAUCACACCCUGAGCCAAAGGCAGAAGCUCAACCACUGAGCCACCCAGUGCUCCCCCAUAUAGGACUUUAUGUGAGCGAGAAACCAACCUUUAUUUGUGAAGAAUUGGGGAUUUCUCUGUUAUUGCAACAUUGCCUGGCCUACCCUAAUACACUUGACAUAUGUAUAUAGUAAACAGUGAAUUUUAGCAUUUAAGCUAUCUAUGAACCAAUAUGGAACAAUUCCUUGCAUAUAUGUUAUUAAAAGAAAAAAAGUCUAGACAAAGAACAGAGUAUUUAGUGUUCUCCAUUUUGCUAAGAAAAAAGGGGAAAUUAAAAUGUGUAUUAACCCUUGAACAAUACAAUUUGAAUUGAAUGGGUUCACUUAUAUAAGUACAGUAUAGUACAAUACAAUACUGUAAAUGUAUUUUCUCUUCCUUAUGAUUUCCUUAAUAACCUUUUCUCAAGCUUAUUUUAUCACAAGGAUACAGUAUAUAAUACUAUAGUGAGAUAUUAGUAGUUAAGUUUUGAGGGAGACCAUAUCCUUAAUCCUUGUGUUGUUCCACAACUGUAACUCCAUAUUUGCUGAUUUUUGCAAAAAGAAAUGCAGGAAAGGAGAAAUCAGAAAUGAAUGAAAAUAAAACAGAGUGAAGAAGAUGCGCAUGGGAGUGAGGCUUCUCUAACUAAAUGUGUUGAUUGAUUUUUGAACCAUAUAUUUUUUUUUAACUCAAAAACAGGGGAUCCCUGGGUGGCUCAGCAGUUUAGCACCUGCCUUUGGCCCAGGGCGUGAUCCUGGAGUCCCAGUAUCAAGUUCCACAUCGGGCUCCCUGUAUGGAGCCUUCUUCUCCCUCUGCCUGUGUCUCUGCCUCUGUGUGUGUGUGUGUGUGUGUGUAAUGAAUAAAUGAAUAAAAUCUUAAAAAACAACAACCUCAAAAACAAAAGUUAAUCAUAAAGAAAAUCCAUUAAACCUGGAGCUUAAAAGAAACAAAUAACCUAACUCUAUAUAAAACUAGUUACUGAACCAACAAGGAAAGAGAAAGUUAUUUUGGGUAACUUAACAUACUAUUCUGACUAUACCCUACAUUAAUAUUAUUGGUAACCAAGAAUUUCCAACAUCAAAGGAAAAAGAAAAUAUAAAAAGAAUUUUAAGAAAAAUACUGUUUAAUAAUGCCAAUAACAAUAUGAACUCCGGCAGCCUGGGUGGCUCAGAGGUUUAGCGCUGCCUUCAGCCCAGGAUGUGAUCCUAGAGUCCCAGGAUUGAGUCCCAUGUUGGGCUACCUGCAUGGAGCCUGCUUCUCCCUCUGCCUGUGUCUCUCUGCCUCUCUCUCUCUC
This 2675-nucleotide long non-coding RNA is filed under the name Canis lupus familiaris (dog). RNAcentral describes it as "lncRNA (ENSCAFG00000052854.1, ENSCAFG00805010650.1, ENSCAFG00845005282.1)". Lineage: Eukaryota; Metazoa; Chordata; Mammalia; Carnivora; Canidae. The record is from RNAcentral.